UGGGGAAUAUUGCACAAUGGGCGAAAGCCUGAUGCAGCAACGCCGCGUGAGUGAUGAAGGCCUUCGGGUUGUAAAGCUCUGUCUUCUGGGACGAUAAUGACGGUACCAGAGGAGGAAGCCACGGCUAACUACGUGCCAGCAGCCGCGGUAAUACGUAGGGGGCGAGCGUUAUUCGGAAUUACUGGGUGUAAAGGGUAUGUAGGCGGCCCUUCAAGUCGCGUGUCAAAGUCCAGUGCUCAACGCUGGGUGUGCGCGCGAUACUGACGGGCUUGAGGGCUGGAGAGGUGAGCGGAAUUCCCGGUGUAGUGGUAAAAUACGUAGAGAUCGGGAGGAACACCAGCGGCGCAGGCGGCUCACUAGACAGUUUCUGACGCUAAGAUACGAAAGCGUGGGGAGCAAACA
This 402-nucleotide ribosomal RNA is filed under the name uncultured bacterium. RNAcentral's name for it is "bacterial SSU rRNA". It matches the Rfam family "Bacterial small subunit ribosomal RNA", at positions 355 to 774 of the family's 1533-position model. The record is from RNAcentral.